Long non-coding RNA from Panicum virgatum (switchgrass), 2472 nucleotides. RefSeq lists it as uncharacterized. The transcript is spliced from 3 exons. The record is from RefSeq and is a predicted model, not a curated record. NCBI's taxonomy places the organism in Eukaryota, Viridiplantae, Streptophyta, Magnoliopsida, Poales, Poaceae.
GUUUUCAUCCCUCCGAUUCACUACGGCCGCCCUCCUCGCCGCCGCCGACGCGGUCUCCGUGGGCGCCGCCGACGCGGUCUCCGUGGGCGCCGCCGCCGCGAUUCUCCCCUAGGACGCCGGCGGCGCGUGCCGGUGGCCGGUCCCCAUCUUGAAGGCCACCAACCUCCCUGCUGGCAAGGACAAGAUCUACCAGUGACGCUCCCGCCCAAGGGCAUCCCCCAUCUUGGAGGCCACCAACCUCCCUGCCGGCAAGGACAAGAUCUACCAGUGACGCUCCCGCUCAAGGGCAGCCCCGGCGCGCUGCUGCAUCAGUGAGAAUGGUGACGCUUCGCCAGUUCGCCACCGGUGCUGAGGACUCCGUAGAGAAGGACUACGCUGCAAAGCCAGCUGAGCCGGUUUGAGGACGAGGACAGAGAGGAGAGAGCAGCUGGGGAUGCGAUGAUCCCUGGGCAAGUAACUGGGGGCUUUAGGCGUGGAAAAGCAUGAAAACAGUUAUCAGGAGAAUCUGGCUGAUUAUGGUGGACUGGAAGCCAAUGUAUCAGGGGGAUUUGGCGCAAGGUAUGGACCAGUGGCGCUCUUUCUUGGAGGAGGCCCUCAAGAUGCCACUGGCACUCGGCUGCUAGCAAAGAAAAAAAGGGCGUACCCAGUGCCGUAGGCUCCCGCACUGUGCGGGGUCUGGGGGAGGUUAUUAGCAGGAGGUCUUUCCCACACACUGUGCAAUGUGUAGAGGCCACCGCUCGAACCUGUGACCUCUCGGUUCACAGGCGGCAAGCACUACCACUUGCACCAGGCUGCUAGCAAAGAAGCUGAAGAAAAAUGACUGGAAUGAUGGGAAGCCCUGGGUGCCAAGCUUUUCUACCUGAAGCCCUUCCAGCCUCUUUCUUCCUUGUUUUUGGCUUCCUCUCUCUAGUUUUUCAGCUCUGUUGGUUGCUGUACCUGGUUUUAGUGUUUCUUUGGGUGCGCUGUGCUGUGUGCUACCUGGAUUGAACUUCUCUCAACACUGUAAACGUUUUUGGCUUCAUCUUAAUCAAGAUGGGGCAGGGCGCUUUUGCCUGUUCCUCUAAAAAAAAACUUGAAGUGCAAAUGAUUUUUAAUUUCCUUGCCAGUCCUUGUACCAAUAACUUAAGCAUUGCACCCAUUCUCUUCAUUGAUGCAAUGCUGACUGUUAUUGUGCAGAGAGAAGCUUCCUCCUAGUCUUGCUACAAUUACUAUUGUAACUAUUCUGACCAAGCAGGAGACUUCAUUGUGUGUAAGGUUCCACCUAGUGUUCUACAAUUAAUUUAUUCAUCAUUUUCCUGUAAUCACCUUUUAUUCGCUGAUCUCUUGUUUCAUCCUUUAAGACUGCCAUUUAUUCAUGACUAGUGUUUAGUUGUUAUUAUACACUACACCCGGUCAAGUCAAGUUGAACACCUACCAAGAGUCAAAGUGGUCAUGAUGGAUUAGCUUUCCCUUGCUGCAAUAUUUUGGUUUAGCCUCAGAUCUGUUUUUGGUUUAGCCUCAGAUCUGUUUAAGGUGCACAUUUCUACAUAAGUUUAUAACCUCAGUUUGUAUUCAAAAUUAUAAUCCUAUCUGGUAUUUUUCCCAAUGCAGAUGCAGUAGUCUCCAUUCAUAUGGUACUCUUGUUUUCAUAUAUAUUACAAAUUAUUGUGGCUGUGUGCGACAUUUCAUUUCAUUAUUGUUUACUCAUUUAGAUUCACUCUUCUGAAGUGAGUUGAUAGUCGAUACAUGAUGGCUAGUAUAUAGUUUUGUUCCUUGUACCAAUCACGUUAGCACUAGUCCAGUACUCCUAAUUGCUGCAUUGUCAACUUUUUGGAGCUUCAUUAUGUAAUAGUUUCUGUGCAUUUGGACAUUUCUGCUGACAAUGUUUCUGUUGCGAUUUCCACCUCUGCAGCCAACUACUUCAAGUUUCAUCAGCCCCUGGGCAAUGGUACCCACUCUGGCCUCGCCAUCUACUUCCUCGUGGGCUGGCGGUAUUAGUGAGCCAGCCACCCCUGCAACACAGGAACCUGCUGGCCCCUCUUCCAAAAGAGCCACCAUGGACGACAAGGUUACCAGCCCACCAAAAAACAAGACUUGCAGCGCGGAGGACUAUCUGAGGCAGGUAUCUGAAAGCAUUGUUUAUCGGAGUUGUCAUGAACGAAGCUAGACCCGUGAGCAGGAGGUUCACGAAACCAUGCAAAUGCUGAAACAAGACGGUGUUCCCGAAGGGUCGGAUCUGUACUUCAAAGCAUUGGAUCUGUUCAAGAACUCAGUUUGUCGUGUGCAGUACAAGAACAUGAGAGACCCAGCAAAUCGCGUAGAUUGGAUUGAAUGGACCUGGACGAAAGGAAAGCAAAAGUAGCAUGGGUCAUCCUUCGCCAAGCUGUUAGCUGCUGUUGUUAUGGAGUGUAGUAUAAUUUUUAUGACGUGGCUUGCGAACAAGAACAAGGUUUGUAAUAAUUACGUUUCAGUUAUGGAAUUACGUUUGAGUUA